GUUCGAUUAUGGCUCCAGAUUGAACGCUGGCGGGAUGCUUUACAUGCAAGUCGAACAUGCUGGACUUCGGUCUGAGGUGGCGAGUGGCGAACAGGUGAGUAUUAUAUCGGAACGUGCCUAGUAGCGGGGAUAACACAAAGCGUAGCCUAAUACCACAUACGCCCUUCAAAGGGGACCUUCGGAGCUCCACUGCACUAUUUGAAACGGCCGAUAUCGGAUUAGCUAGUUGGUGGGGUAACGGCUCACCAAGGCGACGAUCCGUAGCUGGUUGAGGACGACCAGCCACUGGGACUGAGACGUACAGACUCUACGGGAGCAGCGGUGAAAUUUUUGGACAAUGGGGAGCGCAGUCAGCCAUCCGCAUUAAUUUGCCGAUGAAGGCCUUCGGGUUGUAAGCACUUUGGCAGGAAAGAAACGGCACGGGAUAUGCCCGUCACAACCCAGCCAAUACCUACAGAUGAGCACCGGCUAACUACGCGUGUGGCCAGCCGGUAAUGCGGAUUAUAAGCGUUGAUCGGUGCGGGCGUAAAGCGUGCGCAGGCGGGUUCGGAAGAAAAGAUGUCAAAUCCAGGAAACUGGCUGGAACUGCAUUUUUAACUACCAUGAAGCUGGAAAAUUGUGUCAGAGGGGAGGUGGAAUUCGCGAUGUAGCAGUGAAAUGCGUAGAUAUCGGAGGAACGUGUGAAAGGCAACCUCCUGGGAUAACACUGACGCUCAUGCACGAAAGCGUGAGGAACAAAACGGAUUAGAUACCUGUUGGUCACGCCUAAACGAUGUCAACUAGCUGUUGGGGCCUUCGGGCCUUGGUAGCGCAGCCACUGGCGUGAAGUUGACCUGCAAAAUGCGAUCAUGAAUUAAAACUCAAAGGAAUUGACGGGGACCCACACCAAGCGGUGGUUAGUGGAUUAAUUACUGUAGCGAAAAACCCACCUACCCUUGACAUGUCCGGAUCGAAGAGGUUGCAGGAGUGCACUCGCAGGGGAACCGGAACACAGGUGCUGCAUGGCUGUCAGUCGGCUCGUGUCGUGAGAUGUUAGGUUAAGUCCGCAACGAGCGCAACCCUUGUCAUUAGUUGCUACGAAAGGGCACUCCUAAUGAGACUGCCAGAAGUGACAAACCGGAGGAAGGUGAGGAUGACGUCUCGAAGUCCUCACUGGCCCGUUAGGAGCUCACACGUCAUACAAUGGUCGGGACAGGUCGCAGCCAACCCGCGAGGGGAGCCAAUCCCGAAACCCGAUCGUAGUCGGAUCGCAGUCUGCAACUCGACUGCGUGAAGUCAGAAUCGCCAGUAAUCGCGGAUCAGCAUCGUGAUGGUACGUUCCCGGGUCUUUGUACACACCACCCGUCACACCAUGGAAUUGGGUUUACCAAGUAGUUACAGCCUAACCGUAAGGAGGGUGAUUACCACGGUAGGAUUCAUGACUGGGUGAAGUCCGUAACAAGGUAG
This 1446-nucleotide ribosomal RNA is filed under the name uncultured Bordetella sp. Its description in RNAcentral is "partial 16S-23S ribosomal RNA intergenic spacer". It matches the Rfam family "Bacterial small subunit ribosomal RNA". Lineage: Bacteria; Pseudomonadati; Pseudomonadota; Betaproteobacteria; Burkholderiales; Alcaligenaceae. The record is from RNAcentral.